CCGCUAAGGAGUGUGUAACAACUCACCUGCCGAAUGAACUAGCCCUGAAAAUGGAUGGCGCUUAAGCGUAUUACCCAUACUUCACCCACAGGGUAGAAACGAUGCCCUGUGGAGUAGGCAGGCGUGGAGGUUAGUGACGAAGCCUUGGGGGUGACCCCGGGUAGAACAGCCUCUAGUGCAGAUCUUGGUGGUAGUAGCAAAUACUCAAAUGAGAACUUUGAGGACUGAAGUGGGGAAAGGUUCCAUGUGAACAGCAGUUGGACAUGGGUUAGUCGAUCCUAAGGCUCAGAGUAACUCCGUUAUAAGGC
RNAcentral lists this ribosomal RNA (308 nucleotides) under Oxyrrhis marina. RNAcentral describes it as "partial Eukaryotic large subunit ribosomal RNA". It matches the Rfam family "Eukaryotic large subunit ribosomal RNA", at positions 1268 to 1574 of the family's 3401-position model. The record is from RNAcentral. Lineage: Eukaryota; Dinophyceae; Oxyrrhinales; Oxyrrhinaceae.